AAAGAAAUAUAAGUAGGAAGGAACAACAGUGAGGCCACAGUAAACCCACGCCACACGAACAGGAAUUAUUUCAA
Molecule: transfer RNA, 74 nt
Filed under: Xylella fastidiosa
Lineage: Bacteria; Pseudomonadati; Pseudomonadota; Gammaproteobacteria; Lysobacterales; Lysobacteraceae
Description: tRNA-Pro
Source: RNAcentral